RNAcentral lists this ribosomal RNA (200 nucleotides) under uncultured bacterium. Its description in RNAcentral is "partial 16S ribosomal RNA". It matches the Rfam family "Bacterial small subunit ribosomal RNA", at positions 30 to 256 of the family's 1533-position model. The record is from RNAcentral.
AUUGAACGCUGGCGGCAUGCCUAAUACAUGCAAGUCGAACGAGACCUUCGGGUCUAGUGGCGCACGGGUGCGUAACGCGUGGGAAUCUGCCCUUGGGUUCGGAAUAACGUCGGGAAACUGACGCUAAUACCGGAUGAUGACGUAAGUCCAAAGAUUUAUCGCCCAAGGAUGAGCCCGCGUAGGAUUAGGUAGUUGGUGAG